Molecule: ribosomal RNA, 303 nt
Filed under: uncultured Fusobacterium sp.
Lineage: Bacteria; Fusobacteriati; Fusobacteriota; Fusobacteriia; Fusobacteriales; Fusobacteriaceae
Description: bacterial SSU rRNA
Rfam family: Bacterial small subunit ribosomal RNA
Source: RNAcentral
GGCUACACACGUGCUACAAUGGGUAGUACAGAGAGUCGCAAAGCCGCGAGGUGGAGCUAAUCUCAGAAAACUAUUCUUAGUUCGGAUUGUACUCUGCAACUCGAGUACAUGAAGUUGGAAUCGCUAGUAAUCGCGAAUCAGCAAUGUCGCGGUGAAUACGUUCUCGGGUCUUGUACACACCGCCCGUCACACCACGAGAGUUGGUUGCACCUGAAGUAGCAGGCCUAACCGUAAGGAGGGAUGCUCCGAGGGUGUGAUUAGCGAUCGGGGUGAAGUCGUAACAAGGUAUCCGUACGGGAACGU